CGGGGGGUAGGGUCCCUUAGCCCGGAUUGCGAGAGGGUGCAGUCCAGGCUGAGGGUACCCACUGGUGCAUG
This 71-nucleotide microRNA precursor is filed under the name Myotis davidii. RNAcentral's name for it is "mir-9193 microRNA precursor family". It matches the Rfam family "mir-9193 microRNA precursor family". Lineage: Eukaryota; Metazoa; Chordata; Mammalia; Chiroptera; Vespertilionidae. The record is from Rfam by way of RNAcentral.